AUAUUUACCUGGCAGGGAUGAUGCCAUGAUCGUGAAGCUGGUUUUCCCAGGGCGAGGCUUAUCCAUUGCACUCUGGAUGUGCUGACCCAUGCAUAUCCCCAAAUGUGGAAAACUGGAUUGCAUAACUUGUGGUAGUGGGGAACUGCAUUUACACUCUAA
This is a small nuclear RNA of Echinops telfairi (small Madagascar hedgehog), 159 nucleotides long. Its record names the gene U1. It matches the Rfam family "U1 spliceosomal RNA". Rfam says of the family: U1 is a small nuclear RNA (snRNA) component of the spliceosome (involved in pre-mRNA splicing). Its 5' end forms complementary base pairs with the 5' splice junction, thus defining the 5' donor site of an intron. There are significant differences in sequence and secondary structure between metazoan and yeast U1 snRNAs, the latter being much longer (568 nucleotides as compared to 164 nucleotides in human). Lineage: Eukaryota; Metazoa; Chordata; Mammalia; Afrosoricida; Tenrecidae. The record is from Ensembl.